RNAcentral lists this ribosomal RNA (455 nucleotides) under uncultured soil bacterium. RNAcentral's name for it is "bacterial SSU rRNA". It matches the Rfam family "Bacterial small subunit ribosomal RNA", at positions 26 to 522 of the family's 1533-position model. The record is from RNAcentral.
AGAGCGAACGCUGGCGGCAGGCCUAACACAUGCAAGUCGAACGGACCCUUCGGGGUUAGUGGCGGACGGGUGAGUAACACGUGGGAACGUGCCUUUAGGUUCGGAAUAGCUCCUGGAAACGGGUGGUAAUGCCGAAUGUGCCCUUCGGGGGAAAGAUUUAUCGCCUUUAGAGCGGCCCGCGUCUGAUUAGCUUGUUGGUGGGGUAAUGGCCCACCAAGGCUACGAUCAGUAGCUGGUCCGAGAGGAUGACCAGCCACAUUGGGACUGAGACACGGCCCAAACUCCUACGGGAGGCAGCAGUGGGGAAUCUUGCGCAAUGGGCGAAAGCCUGACGCAGCCAUGCCGCGUGUAUGAUGAAGGUCUAGGAUUAGUAAAAUACUUUACACCGGUGAAGAAUAAUGACUGUAGACCGGAGAAGAAGCCCCGGACUAACCGUUCGUAGCCAGACCGCCGAC